AGAGUAUUCCAGGUUGCAUAGC
RNAcentral lists this microRNA (22 nucleotides) under Drosophila simulans. Its description in RNAcentral is "Dsi-Mir-960_5p (mature (guide))". The record is from RNAcentral. Lineage: Eukaryota; Metazoa; Arthropoda; Insecta; Diptera; Drosophilidae.